Molecule: long non-coding RNA, 930 nt
Organism: Mauremys mutica (yellowpond turtle)
Lineage: Eukaryota; Metazoa; Chordata; Testudines; Geoemydidae
Exons: 4
Source: RefSeq, a predicted model, not a curated record
AGCAUCACCUCCAUCUUCCCUGGGGCUAGUCUGAACCAGCUCCAACUUCCUGCAGACUUUGGGACAACUAGAAGUCAGCAUUGUUUGCAUGGAUGCAGAAGAGAUGUGGAGAAGGGUUUCCUGGCACACUGAUGGAAACGGAGCUCAUGGUGCCUCACGAACUGCCCUAGAGACCUUACACAGAUGGGGGAAACACGCAGUGACCUGACUGGAGGGUCAAGUCAUGAAGGAGGAGUACCUGGAGUGGCAACAGAGAGCAGAAGGGGACCCCUGACCUGGAACAAGCAGAUUCCCCAGAGUGGCCAGAAGGAGGUGCCACAUGACCUCUGUGCAGCUACAAGUGCAUGCAGCCUCUGGGAGCAACAUCUACAUCUCAGCCAGGGGAGUCAACUGGAAGGCCCAGAUGUGCUUCUAGCAGUGCACAUUUGAUGAUGAUGAGCUUUGGGAUUGAGGCUGUGCUGAUGAAAGUUGCUGGACUGGCUGGCAGCCAUGGACUCUGAAAGCUUCUCUUUAGCCCCAGAACAGAGAUGGCAAAUGGAGCACUGCAAGCUUCUUCCAUGCACCCUACCCUACACAUGUGCCUUAUCUGUGCCAUGGAGGAACUGUCCUUAGGAGUUAGAAGCAUGUUCAAUCUCUGUAGCCCAUUCAGUCUUUGGCCUCUCUUGCUCAUGCUGCAAGCAAGAGGGCCAAUCAGUGCUAAUUAACCUGGUUGUGUACUGUGGAUACCUGUCCAGUGGGUACUGGACUGAGGUCCCCAGCUCAUGAGCAUAUUCAUUGUUAGUGAAGAAGGAUGACCUCCUUUUUAGUCAAUCAAGGAGACAGGACCAAAUGUACAACAUGGGUGCCUAGAGAGAUUGGUUAGUUUUAUGUGCACUAUACUGGACUACAGUUGUGCAAAACUAGAUCCCCAAGCUCUAGUACCUUUGAAUA